UACGGAGGAUCCGAGCGUUAUCCGGAUUUAUUGGGUUUAAAGGGUGCGUAGGCGGGAGAUUAAGUCGGUGGAGAAAUUUUGCAGCUCAACUGUAAAAGUGCCAUUGAUACUGGUUUCCUUGAGUGUGGAUGAAGUAGGCGGAAUUUGUGGUGUAGCGGUGAAAUGCUUAGAUAUCACGAGGAACUCCGAUUGCGCAGGCAGCUUACUAAACUACUACUGACGCUCAGGCACGAAGGCGUGGGGAUCAAACAGGAUUAGAUACCCUGGUA
Molecule: ribosomal RNA, 269 nt
Filed under: uncultured prokaryote
Description: partial 16S ribosomal RNA
Rfam family: Bacterial small subunit ribosomal RNA
Source: RNAcentral